GGCCUACCAUGGUGGUAACGGGUAACGGGGUGUUAAGGCACGACACCGGAGAGGGAGCCUGAGAAACGGCUACCACAUCCAAGGAUGGCAGCAGGCGCGCAAAUUACCCAAUCCCGACACGGGGAGGUAGUGACAAUAAAUAACAAUGCGGGGUUCUUUCGGAUCUCGUAAUUGGAAUGAGUACAAUUUAAAUCUCUUAACGAGGAACAAUUGGAGGGCAAGUCUGGUGCCAGCAGCCGCGGUAAUUCCAGCUCCAAUAGCGUAUAUUAAAGUUGUUGCAGUUAAAAAGCUCGUAGUUGAAUUUCAGGCCUGGCUGGACGGUCCGCCCUUCGGGUGAGUACUGUCUGUGGUCGGGUCCUACCUUCUGGCGAAGCGUCAUGGCCUUAACGGGCGGGUGGGGGGGAACCAGGACUUUUACUGUGAAAAAAUUAGAGUGUUCAAAGCAGGCAAUCGCUUGGAUACAUUAGCAUGGAAUAAUGGAAUAGGACAAUGGUUCUAUUUGUUGGUUUCUAGGACCGUUGUAAUGAUUAAUAGGGAUAGUUGGGGGCAUUAGUAUUCAAUUGUCAGAGGUGAAAUUCUUGGAUUUAUUGAAGACUAACUACUGCGAAAGCAUUUGCCAAGGAUGUUUUCAUUAAUCAAGAACGAAAGUUAGGGGAUCGAAGACGAUCAGAUACCGUCGUAGUCUUACCAUAACUAUGCGACUAGAUCAGACGAUGUAUUUUUAUGACUCGUUUGCACCUUACG
Molecule: ribosomal RNA, 744 nt
Filed under: uncultured Glomeromycotina
Lineage: Eukaryota; Fungi; Glomeromycota
Description: SSU rRNA
Rfam family: Eukaryotic small subunit ribosomal RNA
Source: RNAcentral